RNAcentral lists this ribosomal RNA (119 nucleotides) under Triticum aestivum (bread wheat). Lineage: Eukaryota; Viridiplantae; Streptophyta; Magnoliopsida; Poales; Poaceae. The record is from RNAcentral.
GGAUGCGAUCAUGCCAGCACUAAAGCACCGGAUCCCAUCAGAACUCCGUAGUUAAGCGUGCUUGGGCGAGAGUAGUACUAGGAUGGGUGACCUCCUGGGAAGUCCUCGUGUUGCAUUCC